This 1200-nucleotide ribosomal RNA is filed under the name Klebsiella michiganensis. RNAcentral describes it as "bacterial SSU rRNA". It matches the Rfam family "Bacterial small subunit ribosomal RNA", at positions 56 to 1235 of the family's 1533-position model. Lineage: Bacteria; Pseudomonadati; Pseudomonadota; Gammaproteobacteria; Enterobacterales; Enterobacteriaceae. The record is from RNAcentral.
UACCAAGUCGAACGGGUAGGCACAGAAGGAGCUUGCUCUCGGGUGACGGAGUGGGGGACGGGUGAGUAAUGUCCUGCGGAAAACUGCCCGAUGGAGGGGGAUAACUACUGGCAAACGGUAGCUAAUACCGCAUAACGUCGCAGGACCAAAGAGGGGGACCUUCGGUGCCUCUUGCCAUCGGAGGUGCCCAGAUGGGAUUAGCUUGGAGGUGAGGUAACGGCUCACCGAGGCGACGAUCCCUAGUUGGUCUGAGAGGAUGACCCACCCCGCUGGAACUGAAACACGGUCCAGACUCCUACGGGAGGCAGUAGUGGGGAAUAUUGCACAAUGGGCGCAAGCCUGAUGCAACCCUGCCGCGUGUAUGAAGAAGGCCUUCGGGUUGUAAAGUACUUUCAGCGGGGAAGAAGGUGUUAAGGUUAAUAACCUCAUCGAUUGACGUUACCCGCAGAAGAAGCACCGGCUAACUCCGUGCCAGCAUCCGCGGUAAUACGGAGGGUGCAACCGUUAAUCGGAAUUACUGGGCGUAAAGCGCACGCAGGCGGUCUGUCAAGUCAAAUGUGAAAUCCCCGGGCUCAACCUGGGAACUGCAUUCGAAACUGGCAAGCUGGAGUCUUGUAGAGGGGGGUAGAAUUCCACGUGUAGCGGUGAAAUGCGUACAUAUCUGGAAGAAUACCGGUGGCGAAGGCUGCCCCCUGGACAAAGACUGACGCUCAAGUGCGAAAGCGUGGGGAGCAUACGGGAUUAGAUACCCUGGUAGUCCACGCUGUAGACGAUGUCCACUUGGAUGUUGUUACCUUGAGGAGUGGCUUCCGGAGCUAACGUGUUAACUCGACCGUCCGGUGGACUACAGCCACACUGUUAAGACUCAAAUGAAUUCCCGGGCGCCCGCACAAGCUGUGGAUCAUGUCGUUUAAUUCGGAUGCAACGCGAACAACCUUACCUACUCUAGACAUCCGCAGAACUUAACAGAUAUGCUUUGGUGCCUUACGGAACUCUGAGACGGUUGCUGCAUGGCUGUCCUCAGCUCGUGUGGUAAAAUGCUAGGAUCAAGUCCCGGCACCGAGUGCUAACCUUUAUUCUUUGUUAGCGGGGGAUUCGGUCCGGGAACUCCAAGGAAACCGCCCUUAAAAAAACUGGGAGAAAGUGGGGAUUAACUCCUUCUAUUUCCCCUUUUAAUUGGCUUCCCUUUCCUUAAUGGAA